GCCACGCCCGCUCAAGUAAACUAAAGGAAUUGACGGGACCCCGCACAAGCGGUGGAUCAUGUUGUUUAAUUCGAUGAUACGCGAAGAACCUUACCAGGUCUUGACAUCCCCCGCGAUGCUUUAGAGAUAAAGCGGAGGUAUUCGGGGAGACAGGUGGUGCAUGGUUGUCGUCAGCUCGUGUCGUGAGAUGUUGGGUUAAGUCCCGCAACGAGCGCAACCCCUAUUGCUAGUUACCAUCAUUAAGUUGGGGACUCUAGCGAGACUGCCAGUGAUAAACUGGAGGAAGGUGGGGAUGACGUCAAAUCAUCAUGCCCCUUAUGACCUGGGCUACAAACGUGAUACAAUGGCUGGAACAAAGGGAUGCGAAGCAGUGAUGUGGAGCGAAACCCAUAAAAACAGUCUCAGUUCGGAUUGAAGUCUGCAACUCGACUUCAUGAAGUCGGAAUCGCUAGUAAUCGCGGAUCAGAACGCCGCGGUGAAUACGUUCUCGGGGUUU
RNAcentral lists this ribosomal RNA (496 nucleotides) under uncultured Acholeplasma sp. RNAcentral's name for it is "bacterial SSU rRNA". It matches the Rfam family "Bacterial small subunit ribosomal RNA", at positions 903 to 1382 of the family's 1533-position model. Lineage: Bacteria; Bacillati; Mycoplasmatota; Mollicutes; Acholeplasmatales; Acholeplasmataceae. The record is from RNAcentral.